UCUCCUGUAGCUUAGUGGUUGAUUGUCCGCCCGGUGUGCGGGUGGUCAUAGGUUCGAGUCCUGUUGGGAGAA
Molecule: transfer RNA, 72 nt
Filed under: Desmophyllum pertusum
Lineage: Eukaryota; Metazoa; Cnidaria; Anthozoa; Scleractinia; Caryophylliidae
Description: Lophelia pertusa tRNA
Rfam family: tRNA
About the family: Transfer RNA (tRNA) molecules are approximately 80 nucleotides in length.
Source: Rfam by way of RNAcentral